This 88-nucleotide transfer RNA is filed under the name Oceanospirillaceae bacterium. RNAcentral's name for it is "tRNA-Ser". It matches the Rfam family "tRNA". Rfam says of the family: Transfer RNA (tRNA) molecules are approximately 80 nucleotides in length. Their secondary structure includes four short double-helical elements and three loops (D, anti-codon, and T loops). Lineage: Bacteria; Pseudomonadati; Pseudomonadota; Gammaproteobacteria; Oceanospirillales; Oceanospirillaceae. The record is from RNAcentral.
GGUGAGGUGUCCGAGUGGUCGAAGGAGCACGCCUGGAAAGCGUGUAUACCGCAAGGUAUCGAGGGUUCGAAUCCCUCCCUCACCGCCA